CUUCGCGUCGUCUAAAGGUUAGGACGUUGCUUUUUCAAAGCAAAAAUAGGGGUUCGAUUCCCCUCGUGGGAA
RNAcentral lists this transfer RNA (72 nucleotides) under Paramoeba pemaquidensis. Its description in RNAcentral is "tRNA-Glu". It matches the Rfam family "tRNA". Rfam says of the family: Transfer RNA (tRNA) molecules are approximately 80 nucleotides in length. Their secondary structure includes four short double-helical elements and three loops (D, anti-codon, and T loops). The record is from RNAcentral. Lineage: Eukaryota; Discosea; Flabellinia; Dactylopodida; Paramoebidae.